UAGGAGGUCCUGCCUGCCCCGUGAUUUUUAUUUAACGGCCGCGGUAUCUUAACCGUGCGAAGGUAGCGCAAUCACUUGCCCUUUAAAUGAGGACCUGUAUGAAUGGCGUGACGAGGGCUUAACUGUCUCCUUCCUCCAGUCAAUGAAAUUGAACCCCCCGUGCAGAAGCGGGGAUAAUAAUAUAAGACGAGAAGACCCUGUGGAGCUUUAGACAAACAUAAACUUUGUAAAGAAACCUCACUUAAAGAGAUAAAACAAUAAGAAUCUUCAUAUACUGUCUUCGGUUGGGGCGACCGCGGGGAAAUACAAAACCCCCAUGUGGAAUGAGAACAAAAGUUCCCUAAGCUUAGAGUGACAACUCAAGGCAACAAAAUUUUUGACCUAAAAUGAUCCGGCUUUGCCGAUCAACGGAACCAGUUACCCCAGGGAUAACAGCGCUAUCCUUUCCUAGAGUCCCUAUCGACGAAAGGGUUUACGACCUCGAUGUUGGAUCAGGACAUCCUAAUGGUGCAACCGCUAUUAAGGGUUUGUUUGUUCAACA
RNAcentral lists this ribosomal RNA (541 nucleotides) under Plagiotremus sp. WLS-2006. RNAcentral describes it as "partial 16S large subunit ribosomal RNA". It matches the Rfam family "Bacterial large subunit ribosomal RNA", at positions 1846 to 2586 of the family's 2925-position model. Lineage: Eukaryota; Metazoa; Chordata; Actinopteri; Blenniiformes; Blenniidae. The record is from RNAcentral.